RNAcentral lists this ribosomal RNA (484 nucleotides) under uncultured bacterium. RNAcentral describes it as "partial 16S ribosomal RNA". It matches the Rfam family "Bacterial small subunit ribosomal RNA", at positions 30 to 507 of the family's 1533-position model. The record is from RNAcentral.
AUUGAACGCUGGCGGAAUGCUUUACACAUGCCAGUCGAACGGCAGCACGGGGGCGGCCCUGGUGGCGAGUGGCGAACGGGUGAGUAAUACAUCGGAACGUGCCCGGUCGUGGGGGAUAACGUAGCGAAAGUUACGCUAAUACCGCAUACGAUCUGAGGAUGAAAGCGGGGGACCUUCGGGCCUCGCGCGAUCGGAGCGGCCGAUGUCAGAUUAGGUAGUUGGUGGGGUAAAGGCCUACCAAGCCGACGAUCUGUAGCUGGUCUGAGAGGACGACCAGCCACACUGGGACUGAGACACGGCCCAGACUCCUACGGGAGGCAGCAGUGGGGAAUUUUGGACAAUGGGCGCAAGCCUGAUCCAGCCAUUCCGCGUGCAGGACGAAGGCCUUCGGGUUGUAAACUGCUUUUGUACGGAACGAAAAGGCUCUGGCUAAUACCUGGGGCUCAUGACGGUACCGUAAGAAUAAGCACCGGCUAACUACGUG